AGCAGCCGCGGUAAUUCCAGCUCCAAUAGCGUAUAUUAAAGUUGUUGCAGUUAAAAAGCUCGUAGUUGAAUUUCGGGGUUAGUAGGUUGGUCAUGCCUCUGGUAUGUACUGGUCUCACUGAUUCCUCCUUCCUGAUGAGCCUUAAUGCCAUUAAUUGGGUGUUUUGGGGAAUUUGGACUGUUACUUUGAAAAAAUUAGAGUGUUUAAAGCAAGCUAACGCUUGAAUACAUUAGCAUGGAAUAAUGAAAUAGGACGUUCGAUCCUAUUUUGUUGGUUUCUAGGAUUGACGUAAUGAUUAAUAGGGAUAGUUGGGGGCAUUAGUAUUCAAUUGUCAGAGGUGAAAUUCUUGGAUUUAUUGAAGACUAACUACUGCGAAAGCAUUUGCCAAGGAUGUUUUCAUUAAUCAAGAACGAAAGUUAGGGGAUCGAAGACGAUCAGAUACCGUCGUAGUCUUAACCAUAAACUAUGCCG
Molecule: ribosomal RNA, 471 nt
Filed under: uncultured Glomus
Lineage: Eukaryota; Fungi; Glomeromycota; Glomeromycetes; Glomerales; Glomeraceae
Description: SSU rRNA
Rfam family: Eukaryotic small subunit ribosomal RNA
Source: RNAcentral